RNAcentral lists this ribosomal RNA (1645 nucleotides) under Tulostoma sp. 9 EL-2016. RNAcentral's name for it is "eukaryotic LSU rRNA". The record is from RNAcentral. Lineage: Eukaryota; Fungi; Basidiomycota; Agaricomycetes; Agaricales; Agaricaceae.
UAACAGGGUUUCCGUAGGUGAACCUGCGGAAGGAUCAUUAUUGAAUAAACUUGAUGGGUUGUUGCUGGCUUCUAGGAGCAUGUGCACGCCUAUCAUCUUUAUCUAUCCACCUGUGCACCYUAUGUAGUCUUUGGAGGUAAUGAGUGCGAAAUCUUAAUCGAGGAUUCAAUCCUCGGAGAGAGGCCUUACCAUGCGCGAGUGUGGUUGGCUUUGGUGCUCGCGCGUGUUCUUUCAAAGUCCUCUAUGUCUUUCAUAUAUACUACAUGGAAUGUCUUAGAAUGUAUUUCAUUAGGCCGCAGUGCCUAUAUAAUAAAAUACAACUUUCAGCAACGGAUCUCUUGGCUCUCGCAUCGAUGAAGAACGCAGCGAAAUGUGAUAAGUAAUGUGAAUUGCAGAAUUCAGUGAAUCAUCGAAUCUUUGAACGCACCUUGCGCUCCUUGGUAUUCCGAGGAGCAUGCCUGUUUGAGUGUCAUUUAAUUCUCAACCCCUCCGGCUUUUGUGGCUGGCUUGGUGGCUUGGAUGUGGGGGGGAUUGUUUUUGCGGGCCUCUUCAGAGGUCGGCUCCCCUUAAAUGCAUUAGUGGAACCGUUUGCGGAAACUGUCACUGGUGUGAUAACUAUCUACGCCAAAGACAACUGCUCUCUGGUAUUCUGCUUCUAAUUGUCCAUCAUUGGACAAUGAUGUUUGAAUGCUUGACCUCAAAUCAGGUAGGACUACCCGCUGAACUUAAGCAUAUCAAUAAGCGGAGGAAAAGAAACUAACAAGGAUUCCCCUAGUAACUGCGAGUGAAGCGGGAAAAGCUCAAAUUUAAAAUCUGGCGGUCUUUGGCCGUCUGAGUUGUAAUCUAGAGAAGCGUCACCCGCGCUGGACCGUGUACAAGUCUCCUGGAAUGGAGCGUCAUAGAGGGUGAGAAUCCCGUCUCUGACACGGACUCCCAGGGCUUUGUGGUGCGCUCUCAAAGAGUCGAGUUGUUUGGGAAUGCAGCUCUAAAAGGGUGGUAAAUUCCAUCUAAAGCUAAAUAUUGGCGAGAGACCGAUAGCGAACAAGUACCGUGAGGGAAAGAUGAAAAGAACUUUGGAAAGAGAGUUAAACAGUACGUGAAAUUGCUGAAAGGGAAACGCUUGAAGUCAGUCGCGUCGGCCAGGAAUCAGCCUCGCUCUUGCUUGGUGUAAUUCCUGAUUGACGGGUCAGCAUCAAUUUUGACCGCUGGAAAAGGGCAUGGGGAAUGUGGCAUCUUCGGAUGUGUUAUAGCCCCUUGUCGCAUACGGCGGUUGGGAUUGAGGAACUCAGCACGCCGCAAGGCCGGGUUUCGACCACGUUCGUGCUUAGGAUGCUGGCAUAAUGGCUUUAAUCGACCCGUCUUGAAACACGGACCAAGGAGUCUAACAUGCCUGCGAGUGUUUGGGUGGAAAACCCGAGCGCGCAAUGAAAGUGAAAGUUGAGAUCCCUGUCGUGGGGAGCAUCGACGCCCGGACCAGAACUUUUGGGACGGAUCUGCGGUAGAGCAUGUAUGUUGGGACCCGAAAGAUGGUGAACUAUGCCUGAAUAGGGUGAAGCCAGAGGAAACUCUGGUGGAGGCUCGUAGCGAUUCUGACGUGCAAAUCGAUCGUCAAAUUUGGGUAUAGGGGCGAAAGACUAAUCGAACC